Molecule: ribosomal RNA, 233 nt
Filed under: uncultured bacterium
Lineage: Bacteria
Description: partial 16S ribosomal RNA
Rfam family: Bacterial small subunit ribosomal RNA
Source: RNAcentral
CGGGUGAGUAACACGUAUCCAACCUGCCGUCUACUCUUGGCCAGCCUUCUGAAAGGAAGAUUAAUCCAGGAUGGCAUCAUGAGUUCACAUGUCCGCAUGAUUAAAGGUAUUCUUCGGUAGACGAUGGGGAUGCGUUCCAUUAGAUAGUAGGCGGGGUAACGGCCCACCUAGUCAACGAUGGAUAGGGGUUCUGAGAGGAAGGUCCCCCACAUUGGAACUGAGACACGGUCCAA